Long non-coding RNA from Pan troglodytes (chimpanzee), 13988 nucleotides. RefSeq lists it as uncharacterized. Lineage: Eukaryota; Metazoa; Chordata; Mammalia; Primates; Hominidae. The record is from RefSeq and is a predicted model, not a curated record. The transcript is spliced from 3 exons.
CCCGGUUAAUGGGUCAGUAAAGGUCUGGUUAUUAAAGACCUGGCCAGUCAGAACUUCAUCAGUUAAGGACCUGGUCAGUUGGGACCUCAUCAGUUAAGAACUUGGGCAGGUGGAACCUUGUCAGUUAAGGACCUGGUCAGUUGGGACCUCAUCAGUUAAGAACUUGGGCAGGUGGAACCUUGUCAGUUAAGGACAUGGUCAGUUGGGACCUCAUCAGUGAAGGAAGUGGUCAGUUGGAAUCUUGUCAGUUGGGCCCAGUCAGCCUGGCAGCGAAAGCCUCAUCCGUGGGUUCUGGAUAGUGAGGCCUGGUCACUGGAGGCCUGGCCGUGGAACCUGGCCCAGGACGUGGAGAUGCCCGAUGCUGGGAGGAGGCACAGACAGCAGGAAGGAGAGAAGGAAGGAACUUCCAUAGUAUGGAUGCCUACGAAGUUACAACACGUGGUUCCAUCACCAUGUUCUCUGUUUAUUUCCCACAUAAUUCUCUAUUCUAAACUGGCCUCAGUUGAGCACAAAACCAUCCUUGUACUACCACAAAUAGUUGGCCAUGGCUCUUUGAUAGCAGUUUUUAUUCUGCUGUGGAAAUUAUCCUUGAACUGGAAAAAGUCCCCAACCCAACAUCCAGUCACUCAACACUCUCAUCUUUAUAAAGAGCUGCUUUCAAAUUCUAGAUCGAUUUUUGGAAAAGUAUGUAUUGCUCUGGUAAAAAGUGCUGCAUCUAUGAUCUCAAAUCUCUCCCUCGAAUUGGAUGGAGAUGGUGAAUUUCAGCCAAAGUGGCCAAAGAACUCGUGUCCCGCGCUCCUGAAUGCCAUCAGCUCCCGCACCUCCAUCAUUCCUCCUCCCACGAGUCUCCUGCUCCCCGUGACUUUGGUAAGAGCUCCUCUGUGAACGUGGAGGAUGUCUGGGAAUUUGAUGCGUUGCUGCUUGGACAGCAGUAACAGGUACGAGACAGAAUCCAGGUCCUGCCUGGGCCAAUCUGGGAAGAGCUUGACGAUGGUAUUGUAGGCACCUCCGGUGAAGGUUGAUGGGCUGGUUCAGGCCCACCCAGAAGGCCUGCUGGGCCCACUCCAAAGCCUGGCUGAGGCCGUGGGAGGGCUGGCCCCCUGCUGAUGCUCCUUCUCAAAGCCCCUCACCUGCUUGCCGUGAACUCCAUGCCCUGUGGCUGAGCAGCAGCGCCGUCAUCCACCUUCUUGAGAAAGCAUAUGAAGCUGUCAAUCAUGCUCUCCACCUCCUGCAGGUCGAGGGCAGUGGUGGUGCAGUGCUCAGGGUCAGGAACGAGCUGGCACCCACCAUGUCACCUUUCUCGCACCACCCACCUCCCAUGACCAGGCCACGUAUCCAGUGUUCAUCUUCGAUACCCACAUCCACUCCCCCAAGUGAUGCCCACCUUCUCGCUGACCUGCUCUGCUUGGAUCGGAGGCAGUUUUCUUAUUUUCUUUCCUCAAGAGGUGCUGUGCCAUACAGAAGGCCUUCCUCUUGCCUUGUUUCCAGGCCUUCUCUCGGUGCUGCUGAGGCACAUCAGGAAGUGCUGGAGGACGUGGCACUGCGCCAGCACUGGGCGGCCGGCCGUGUAGCUCAUCCCGCAGAUCGUGCUCUACCUAUACUUAGAGAUGAAGUCCUCCUGGAAGCAGCUCGUGGCCCACUUCUCAGGUAGUUGGGGCACAGACAUAGCCAGGAAUGUCACCAGACACGCAUCCAGCCAGUCCAAGUGCUUGUUGCGCCGUGCACUGGGACCUGCCUGUGCAUGGUCACCAGCUUGCAGGAGAGGACGCUAUUCAUGCCCUUGGAUGAGCCUAGUGGCGGUUCACACCUGGUCCUCAGUGGCUCCCUGAGCCCCCGUCGUGGCAACAGCUUGGCCACCAUGAGGCGCAGUCUCAACUGCUUCCCCACUUGUCAAGUCAGGCAGGGAGGCCUUGUGCUUGGCGAGGCGUUGGGCUCUGUGAAGGACGGGGACAAGCUGUGCGUGGCUCUGUGGCUCUAUGGCCUCAAGUGGCAGGAGAACCCCUACUCCUUCCAGUGCACUACCAGCGACACCGCUCAUCCACCAUCACGGGGCUGCCAUCCCACUUGUGAUCCUCGGCAUCGUCACUUCAUCACUGCCCUGACUGUCCUGGUUGCCACGAAAGAGCUGCUGAGGCCACGGCUGUCGGGCACGCCUGCCGUCUGAAGCCUGCACCGGCUGCUGAAAGGUAUUCAGUGGUGGCACGUGCUGCGGCUGUAGCACCGGCUGGAAAGUGUCAGGAAGGGGUCUCAAGGAGGUGGGCAGCAUACCGGGCAUGGCCUCGAAGCCUCCUGACAGCAUGUUGGCAGCGUGGCUGAGAUGCUGGGGCCACCAUCACCUGCCAGUCCCAGCUUGGAGUCAUAGAUCACCUGCAUGACACAGAUGAGGCUGGGAAGAGGCCACAGUCACUGUAGCCAUGGACGCUCUUGAGCAGCCCUUGAUGUCCUGCUCCCGCACAGGCUCAGCACCUCGUGUUCCUGCAGCAAGUUCUUGCCGGGGUUCUCUGACCUGAAAUGGUACAACAACCGGGUGAGGUGUGCCAUGUCCCCUGCGUGGCCAUCCGUGCUGCAAUUAAAGGCCCAUGGCACCCCUGGUGCCCUCCCCUACCAAGCAGGGCUGGGGUUGAGGCCGGGCCCCUCUGGACCUAGGACUUGUGCCCUGGGAGGGGACUCUGUCCAACAAGUCAAAUCAGAGGCCACAGGGCAUGCUCCUGGCUGGCCAGGGCUGGGAGGACGCCACGUUCACCCCUCCCUCUGGCAGCCUGAAAGGGACCAGCUUCCCUGUUGAGAAGGACUUCAUAAGGCCCAGGAGCCAUCUGGGGCUGCAGAGCAACUGGCUGGGAGCUGCCCUGGCUCCUUCCAUGCCAUGCUAGUCAUUGCCCACCAAGAGGGGUCCGAUGCAAGUGCCCCCAUGCAAGGGACUUAUCUCUGGACCUGCCUCUCAGUUCUCAUGGGGCCCAGCAGGGCCUGGUGUUGUGGCCAAGAUGGGGUUGCAGGGCUGGUCCCCACUGAUGGUCCUGGGGCUGUGUAGGGUGGAUGUGGAAGGGACGGAGCACAGCAUCCCUGUUCAAAAUUUUACAAUGGGAACCACGGGCCUCUGACAGCCAAGUCUCUGGGCAGCUUCGGGAGGGAGUUCAGAAAAUGCAUGGGUCCAUUCUGAACCCUCAGGAUCCCCAGAGAGCAACCUGCUGCCCUGAGUUUUCUGGAAGCUCCUUCGUGCCCCUGGGCCUCAGUCUUGGAGACUGCCAGCCAGGUCAGGGUGGGAGAGGACCAGGGUUGCAUUCCGGGGUAGGGGGCUGGCUGCAUGGGCCCCUGGAGCUAAGCUGGUAGGCAGGGGCGGGCCAGCCCAUCUCCCUUGCAGAGGGGCUCAAUGCCAGGGUAUGCUCACAGAGGCCUGGGUGCCAAGGACCCUCGAUUGGGUUUGGCUGAAAAAAUAGCAGAUGCGAGCGGUCAGCUUCUCCUCCAAGUCCAUUAAGUCCUCACAAGGCUGGGCCCCACAGACCUGGGUCUCUGGUGUCCUCAGCAUCCCUGUGUGGCUUCUUGAGUCUGACUCUGAGGACACCCCUGCAGGCUGCUGAUCACAGAGCAAGAGGUGUGUGGAUCCCUCAGGGCACGGGGAGCUGUUGGGGCACCUCACGUCACUCCUGGGGCAGUGGCUUAGGAUUCAGGCUGGCUCCAGACUUCCUCCUUCACCUCCUCAUCCCAGGGCUGUGUGGCCUGGGUAGCAGCCCUGAUUCAGAACCAGGUGGGAGAGGCCUUGGCUGUCACCUAGCCCCCUUGCCACCUCACACAAGACACUAUCUCCACAGUGGGUGAGAUGGUCCCAGGCACGGGGCCCCCUUUGCCCUCCAGGACCGUCCACUCCAUGCCUGGACGGGACCAUUCCCACACCUGCACCUGGCUGAACUCUUGGAUCUGGCUCUGGCCAGGGCUCCUAUCCGUGUCCUCUCCCCAAGUCCUCUGGGUCAGUGACACUGAUUCUCUUUUUCCCCUGGCUCAAGGCUUAUUGCCCUGACGUCCUUGGAGGGGCAUUCUGGAGUGAGCGGCCCCUGCUCCUCUCAGCAUCUGUUGAUGUUGGGAUGGUGGUUAGGGAGCUCGCACAGAGGAGAGAGGAUGUAAAAAGCAUAGGGGGCGUUGAGGGUUCUUUCUCCAGUCCCUGCCUGUCUGAGCAGCAUGUCCAGUACAUAUGCGCUCAGCACCUGCCCAGAAGCUGCUUAGUGUAGAGGAGGAAAAGGCAGAAAAAGAGGUGCAGGAGGAAGGGCCAGGUAGUAGGGCUGGUGGGGCCGGGGCCCUCUCCACUAUCGAAUGCUCCAGAGGAUGACUUGGGAGAGGGGACCUGGUGCUGGAGCCCACGAGGGGGUGGCAGAUCCCAGCACUGGCUCAUCAGUUCCCCCACAAAGGCCUCAAAGUGCCUGAGCACUGUGGCAUCCUCCAGGGCCCAGGCCUGGGAGCACUGGUCCUGAAAGAACUCCCUCCCACAGGGUGGACUGGGACAGGUUCAUGGUCGCUCAAGGGACAGGAAGGGCAUCAGGCCGGGAGGGGUUCCUGGAAGGGGUUGGUGCCCACACCCCGUUUCCAACACUGCCACCUCCCACUGAGCAGCACUGGGUCCUUCUGUGGCCAACCCUGGGGUCCAGCUGUGCACAGGAGGCCAUGGCCGGGGGAGGCCCGGGCAGGGACGUUCCCACCACACUCCCACCUUUCACAUGGAUCACUCAUUUCAAGGGUGGGCUCAGGGUCUGGGAGAACUCACUAUGCCCUGCCCAGCCCUUCAGGCCAGGCCUGGCCAUCCCUGGCCAUCCCUUCUGAUGAGAGCAGAAGGUCAUGGGGACAGAGGCCUCAGGCCAGCCAGGCUGUGUCCCAUGAGUUCCCCAGGAAACCUCAGACACAGGGGGACUUGCUUCUGUGAACCUCGAAGGCCGUGGGCGCCAUUGCCAUUAUUGCAUGCUUCAUCUUCAGGCUGAACCCGAAGGGGAUCUGUGGGGACAGCAGGUGUGAGAGGACCUGGCCCUUCCAGGCUGGGAGCUGGUGGCCCAAGCAGGGCCCACUGUGGUUUCAGUCCCCUGGAGUGCCAGGGACCCGUCCCCAUGGGAUGAGCUGCCACCAUGAGGCUGGGUCAGAAGAGGUCUUGCAGCUCCUCAUGGAGGGGACUCAUCUCAGCAGGGAUGUAGCUCCUGGAGGGAGGGGCUCCCCAGGGCCUUGGACUUCCCCGGGCUCUUCCAAGUGGAGACCUGGCCCAUUCUGCCCUGGCCUCUGCUGUACGAUGCCCCCUCUCAGGUGUUGCCUGGCUUGUGUGCCCUGUGGGGACCCGCCUGUGCCUCCUGCUGGGUGGGGGUGAGCCAGGUCCUCCUGGGGAAGCCGGACCCCUGGGCUGGGGGAGCCAAGCAGUGCGGGGCAGGAGGGUCCCUGGACUGGGAGUUUCCAGUGCCUCAUUACCCCCAUUUAAAGCACCAGAGGAGCCAGUGUAAACGUGGAAUUCUGGGCAUGCAGCUCAUCCUUGUCCUGAUGGGAGGAGCAGAGGUGCUCAGGGCCCCUUGGGCUGCCCCCAAAACAUCCCUAUUUCAGGCCCCUCUGCAGCCCUUCCCUGAGGGACAGAACACUGGGCGGUCCCCAGGGCACCCCGCCACACCUGCCCCCCGCAUGGACCUUCGGUGGACACACUUCCCUUAGCCCAGCUCAGCCAGAGCCCAGUCCCCGUCCCAGAGCCUCUGCCUUCUCCAGAGCAGAAAAAGGAAACCCAACUACAAUCCCAUGGAGAACCCCACAUCCCAGGUCUGGCCCCUGCUGGGACUCAACCUCUCACCCCCUAUGAGGAGGAGCCAGAACCUCCCUCUACCCCUGAUCCCCAAGCCUCUGGGGAAGAGCCAAGGGGACCGUCUCCUCACCAAGUCCUCAUAAGCUUCGGGGAUGAUGUCCAUAACACGUGUCCCGGGUGGGCUUAGAGUCUCUGGAGCCUGGCACAAUUUGAACUGCAGAAUCCUGAGAGCCCACAACCUAUCACAAAAUCAAAGCCUGCUCCCAAGACGUGGAGCCGUCAGCUGGAAGAGCUGGCACUGGCAGGGGUCCUCAGACCCCCAGGCCUCCCACCCUCCCAUCUGGCCCCUCCAGCAUGCAGCCUUGGCCCAGGGGAGGAGGGGCAGGAAUGUCCCCUGGAUCCUGGCGGGAGGAGCUGCCCAGUGGGGCCCUGAGCUGAGGUAUUAGGAGGAGAGGCCUGCCGUGGAGGCCAAGAGGGAGGAACGUGGCAGGCAGGGGCCAGCAGGGUGAGCGGGGUGGGUGCUGGGGGUGCAUUACUGUCUUCUGGACAUUCAUGGGGUCAGGCUAGGGGACAUGCGAUGAGGAAGCAUUACUGUCUGGGUUUCAUCUGCCUGUCUGAGGGUGAUGAGGACGGCUAGGAACACAGUCAGCCACCAGGAGGCAGGAGGACCCUCAGGGAGGUGAGCGUUGCCUGCGCAAAGUCGGGGUUGGAGGACCAAGCCUCCGGGAUACAGAAGGUAGCCACAGGGAGGCUGUCAUGCCCUCUGCUGAUGGGGAUGAGAGGCAUCUAACUCAGGGUGUGGGGGUCCCUAUCCAGUCCCAGGCUCCUGCAUGACCCACAGCAGGCAACAUCCUAGAGGCUCCAAAUGAGCUGGGGACACAAGGAAGGCUCCUUGCCUGGAAGCUGGGAUCAUCUAGCCAGGGUGACCAUCCCCAGGCCUGGCUGUGUGAGUCCCCAUGGGCAGCUGUCCACCUACCCUGCAAGGAGUGCCUCUCACCAGCCAGCAGCUGGGCCACCACUCAGAAGGUAUCUUUUCUGGGCAGAUAGAGAAGAGUGGCAGCAAUGCAGCUCAUGGCCCUGCAGUAGCCCAGCUCCUGCAAGAGUCAGAGUCACCAUGGAAGGAUGUCACCUGGGAGGGCUGAGGUCACCUGAGAGGACUGAUGUCAUUGAGGAGGCCUGCCACAGGCCCUGUGGGAUUUGGGGUGCAGCCUGUUCACCCCUCUCCUGACACUGGGUGUCAGGACUGAGCAGGUCACGCACGUCUCAGUUGACAAGGAGUCCAGAGAGACUCCUGUAGCGAGCGUCCAAGCCCACAUGGCCCGAGAGGACAUAGGAGAGGACCGUGGAUGUCCCUCCCCCUCAGAUGCCAGGCCAGGGAGGCCACCGUGCCAGGCUUGGGACAGCAUCUGUGAGCUGGGCUGGCCAACAGGGCGGGCUGGGGGCCCACCGCAUACAGGGUCCUGGGAAGACCCAGGGGCUGCCUGCCAGGUAUGAGAGGGAGGCUGGGUCCAGACCCUGGGUGUGCAGCCCAUGGAGCCAGCUCAGUGGCUGUCCCUCCAGGAGUGAUCUGGAAGCUGGGGGCACAGUGGGAGCAGGCACUUCAGGAACCCCCUCCCUGUCUGCUGCGCUCCAGUGGGGUUCGGGCGGAGGGGACGUUGGAUCCCUGCCAGUUUUCCAAUGAAGAAACAGCUUCCACGGGAUCCACACUCAUUUCGUGACAAGAGUGACGUCCAUCAGGUACUUUGGCAACUUGUCAAAAAUGCCUCCUGGGAGGACCAUUUUGGGACACUGACCAGCUCCUGGACCUUGGGGCAAGCCCAGGAGGAGGGUGUCAUUUCUUGUUCUGAGAUUGGGGGUCAGGCUCAGGUCAGACCAGGAGUCUGUGCCUGAGCCCUCUCCAUCUCAGCAUGACCCCUCUGAGACCCUCCCUCCCUGCCUUGCUUGAAUAUUCAAGCCAACAGCGAGCUUGAGUCCUACCGGCUGCGUCUUGGUAGGUGUCAGAUACUGAAUUUUAAAGAAGCAAUGACACCCCCUACCCAAGACACCCGUGCCUAUGAAUAUGGGAAUGUGACCCGGGAAUAUUGUUGCCUGGGAAUACUCAUGGGAUUAGGUGCAAUAUGCCACCAGGACAAGAAAGACGUGCUGCAGCCUAGGAAAGAGAGAAAAGAGGGUUUGGGUUCACACGGAUGCUGUUUUGUUCUCUCUAUCGUGUUCCAACAAGGAAUCCAAUUCCAGGUCCAGAUGAUGCGCAGAAUAAGCAGUGAGCUCUUCAGGGUCACUGAGUUUUAUGAAAUGUUUUGGUGAAAGUGGAUUUUACUAUUCCCGGGUUGAAGAUUGUCUUGGUGGCCUUCAACUGUGAGUGACGGUGAAUCAAGCUGUGGACGUGGCAUGCAGGUUUUACAUGGCCAUCAGUUUUCAAAUCAGUGGGAUCAGUCUCUGAGAAUCUUCUGGGACAUGUGGCGCGAGUCCACUGAGUUUCGUGCAGAGCCGCCCAACGGGUUCCCAAAGGGGCUGUGCCCUGUCGCAUUCCCACCUGGCAGGGACAAAGGUCCCCGGGGCCGCACAUCGUCCCGGCAUUUGGUGUCGUCAGUGUUGCUUGGGAAGGCUCCCGAGCCCCUCAUCCUGCCGCCCUCCCGUAGGUUACUGCACUUUCCACCAUUUCUCAUGAUUUUGUUCAUUGCUCUCUGUCUCCUCAGGAGCCACCUGGGCUCCGGCCCCACAUAUCCCAGCCAGGCCCAGGGCUUGCAGCCAGGAAGGCACUCAGUCUAUUGUGCUAGCUGCUCCCUGGGCCUGGAAAGCUUUUGGUGGCUCUGUCACCCCUCCUGGGUGACCCCUGCCUCUGCUCUGGUGAAGCUCCCAUCCCUCUGGUUCACGCCAUCUCCCCAGGGACUCUCCAGCCCUGCAAGCCUUAAUUGACACUGCAUUGUGGCCAAAACAUCAUGUGGUUUCUUAGUGUAUGGCUGACAUCCAGGUUGAUCUGGUGGAAGUUCCAGGGGGGACCUCUUUCCCUUCAUCUUCACGACCUCCAGGGCAGGGCCAGGAAGAGGAAGCAGCCUCUGAACAGAGAGAAGACUCGCUGCCCCACACGGCAGUCGUCCACAGGCAGCCCGGAAGGAAGGAAAGAAGGAAAGGAAAGGAAAGGAAAGGAAAGGAAAGGAAAAGAAAGGAAAGGAAAAAGGAAAGGAAAGGAGGAAGGAAGGAAGGAAGGAAGGAAGGUUGGUUUCCUUCUGCAGAAAGCUCCUCCUCUGGCUUGGUUCCUUACAAUCCAACUAGUCCUGGAGCUCAGCUCACCUUUGGUGCUGGCAUCACGGUCUCUGCCCAGGAUGUCCACCUGACCACGCCCCCUCCACCUUCAACCCAGGCUCUGCGUUCCCUCCAGCUGGAGGCUUGGGCUCUCAACACAGCCUGGCCUGUUUGUCCUCCUCUGGCUGACUUCGGAAGGGUCAUACCUCGUAUUUCCACCAGUUCUCGGCCUUCACCUUCUCGACAUCCAGGAAGUGUGACCACACUUGGCCCCACAUCUAUGGAGAAUGUCUUUAUACACGCUGUCUAUCAACUUGGGACAGAACACUCUGAAGAAACAGGGUCUGGGGCAGCCCCAGGGAGGAUCGGAGCCUGAGGAUUCUGGAAGUCUCCAGUCUCUGACUUGUUGGUUUUUCAGGGGAUGUGCAGUUUACCUAGCACCAGGCCUCCCUCCCACGAUUCAGAGUUAUGAAUUCUCAUCUUGACCUAUUCCUUCCUUCGGUUUGCCACGGGGUGUCCCUAUCCCUGAGAUAGUGCUGGCUCAUGCCCUGGCAUCACACUGUCUCCAGCAAGUUGAGGUUUGCAGGGACAAACAGGAAAGCUGGUGACCAGACCUGCUGUCCAGGGUGAGGACAGUGUGUCACCCACCCUCUGAGAGACAGGCAGUGCCAGGACCCAGCCAUGGGAGCCCAUCCCCCGACUCUGUAGAGAGCGGUCACGGGGGCCCUCCCUCCCCAUGUCACCUCCUUGCCACUCCUAUAUCCCUGCCCGUCUUGAAGCAUCUGGAGCCAUUUCUCUGUGCCUCUCAUCUCCUGACGUCUUUGCUGUCAACUAUGACCAGAAGUUAGCGGAGCUACCAAGGCUUCCUGAAGCAGCCUUUGGAGGCUGUAUCCUGGGCUCCGAGGCCCUGACGGGACUGAACCACAAAAAGAACCAGGAAAGGGCAGGCCCCGGGGACUGAGACCCUCUGACUGAACAGGCGUCUGUGACCUGGCCUCACGACCUGGGACAUGCCAUCCUCAGGCCACAGACACCGGACUUUGGUCAAGUACUAGCCUCCAGGUGGGGUCCUGGUGCAAGCAGACAGCAACCCCCGAGCCGUGACUGCGGUUCUCAGUUUGGAGUUUGGUCAAACAACCAAUGGGGACAGAGUCUUGGGGUCAGGUCCAGCAGGAACUGCCACCCCUCCCAGGGACAGCCUGUCUCUCCCACUCACCAUCGCUGGUGCCCACGGGCUGCUGACCACCUGCCAAGUCCUCCUGUCCCUGGACCAGCCUCUCAGGCAGCAGGUCUUACCUUUGCCUCCAGGGCACUGAUCGAUGGCAGCUUUGUCUCACUGUAAGGCAACCCAGACAGAGCUGAGGGCCCGUGCUGGGCCAGGAGCUGUCCUCCUCCUUCCCUAGCAGUCCUAGGGAAGGACCAGCCGUGUCUCUCCCCACCCCACCCCUGGUCUUAGCCCAGGAGACACACAGGGAAGGUAGGAAGAGGGUCUCCCUGUGGGCUGACGCCUGUGAAGGGACAGGACCUGGGAGAAGAGGGGUGUGUGGGUGGGGCAGGGACCACUAGGGUCCUGUAGAGCAUGGGCUUGGGCUACACAACAGGGCUGCCCCUCCUGGGCUAGAGGCAGUGCCCUCUGCAGGAGCUGAGAAUGUCCAGUCCUGAGAAAGGAUGUGUAUGGCCCAGGGUGGGUGACUGGGCCCCAAAAGCAGUCCUCAAGGGAGUGACCACAUUACCAGGCCAGGAUCCUGAGACCUGCCCAGUGCACUGAGGGUGCACCUGGGGCCUGUCCCACCUGAUGUCCCCAAGUGCCCCGCAAGGUCUGAUCUCUCAGCCUCCAUCUACCUCCCCCAGGGGGUGGGGGCUUGCUUUGAGCUGUCCCCACCUUUCUGGAUAGAACUAAUGUACUUCUUACAUAUAUUGAUUGAUGUCUCAUGUCUCCUUAAAAUGUAUAAAAGCAAGCUGUGGGCCAGGCGUAGUGGCUCACGCCUGUAAUCCCAGCACUGUGGGAGGCUGAGGCUGGUGGAUCACGAGGUCAGGAGAUCGAGACCAUCCUGGCUAACACAUAGAAACUCCAUCUCUACUAAAAAGUACAAAAAAUUAGCCAGGCGUGGUGGCGGGCGCCUGUAGUCCCAGCUACCUGGGAGGCUGAGGCAGGACAAUGGCAUGAACCCGGGAGGUGGAGCUUGCAGUGAGCCGAGAUCGCACCACUGCACUCCAGCCUGGGCGACAGAGCGAGACUCCGUCUCAAAAAAAAAACCAAAAAAUUAUCUGGGCAUGGUGGUGGGUGCCUGUAAUCCCAGCCUUUCAGGAGGCUGAGGCAUGAGAAUUGCUUGAGGCUGGGAGGCAGAGGUUGCAGUGAACUGAGAUCGCGCCACUGCACUCCAGCCCAGGUGACAGUGUGAGACUCCAUCUCAAAAAAAAAAAAAAAAAAGCAAGCUGUGUCCCAACCACCUUGGGCACAUGUCAUCAGGACUUCCUGAGACCAUCACGGGUGCAUCCUCAACCUUGGCAAAAUAAACUUUCUAAAUUAACUGAGACCUGUCACGGAUUUUCUGGGUUCACCUCUCAAAGGGUAAAGAGUCAUGCAAAUUAAGACAAGUGGCACUGGUUCCCUGACCAGGAAUCGAACCUGGGCUGAAGUGGUAAAGGCCCAACAUAUUAGCCCCUGUACCACAGGGUGGAGUAUAAGUUCAAUAAGAAUCCAAAGCAGGCAGUUUGAGCAUUUAAAGGACUUUGACAGGGGAGGAGUUUCUACGCUAGAAAGGAGAUUGGCACGAGCUGGGGAGAUGUGUCCUGCCUCAGUGAGGCCUUUCUAAAAAAAAAACCCAUCCCUGGGUGGUGAGGGUGGGAACAGAGGACUCACUGCGGAAUCCCGAGGUGAUCGGUGACUUUGUAGCUGUCAAUAUCCUCAGGCCCCACGUCUGCAGGUGCCUCCGCUCAGCAUCCCUGUGACCCAGAGGGGAUUCAGGGUGAGGGGGCCGAGGUGAGGGGUGUGGGGACAUGAAGUUCCCAGCAGCUGGUCCUGGCCCUGCAUCCGGAGGGAGCCCAGGACACUCCAACCAGGAUACAGCUGGAGAUGGGUGGCCUCGCCUCCCUCGAGGGAACAGCCCGACCCGGACCUGCUCACACUUGUCAAUGAUGUCCCGCUCCUGCGCGAGCAGGGCAGCUGUAAUCCUUUUCCAUGUCCAUCCUGCGAGACAACAUUGUCCAAAGGCCACACUGCACCUGGGUGCUUCAGAGAACACCCAAACCGCUUCCACCCAACUCUGAGACGCCGCCAGCCAGGUGAACCCCAUGCCACCACCGCUCCGGGUGAAAACGGGCCAGAUCUAGGGUCCCCAUGCCUGCUGGGGUCUCUGGAGUCCCUGCCCCAGCCAGAGGUGGGCUUCUUCCUGAGGAUUUGAGAACAGGGGGACCUGGACACAGACGCCCAUUGUCCCUAAAUGCCCUGAAUCAGGCACAUAAGGGAGGAACGGUGUCCAUCUGCUGAGGGUGAGGGGCCUGUGGUGCGCUAUUUCAGACACCUGCAGGUAGACUGGGGUCAGGGAUCAGAGAGCUCCAUAUGCUCAGCCUCCUGGGAUCACGCAGGGACCAUGAAGAUGCCCAGUUUCUUACAGGGAACAAGACACCUCGUGACUGCUCCGUUUCACCCCCAUCUCCACUCCCUCUGGCCAGUGAAGCCGCUUCAAGAAUAACAUCAGCCAAACGGGAGGGUGCUUGGUUUGGGGUCAACGCAGCCUCUCUGCUCAUGAAGAUGUCUCAGGUGAAGGGACAGUGGAUCCCAAGUUCUGAGCUGUCAAUACAGGAAGGACCCUCGUGUUCCGGGGUCACUGAGAAAGAAUGAGAACUCUGAUGACUUGGUCCUGGAGAACUCCAGAGGGUCCCUUCCCAUGAACAUUCGGAACAAAGAAAGGGCGAGGCCUGUAAAGGAACAGAGAAAGGGCCUUGUGCGGAAGAGCCCCAGUUCCCGGUGAAGAGGAGGAACGAUCAUCACCCUCCAACCAACCCUCCGGGGCGCCAUCAUUUUCCACAACUGCCCAAGGACAGAGGGCUCCCCACCCCACUCCCAGACAAGAGACCCCAUAUGUCCAGUGGGUCCCACAGCGACCCCCACUGACUGCACCCAAAGUCUGGGUUGAUGAGAUCUUCUCUUGCAGGGACCCACCUUAGGACACAGACCUGGAUGGAAGACCACCCUCCACCCCACCCACAGGGGCUCUUCCAAGGCCAGGCUCUGUCCUAUUGCUGUCAAAAAUUUUGUAAAGAUUUGGGAUCGAGGGCAUAAGGGGCACCGCGUAAGGGAGUGAGUCCCACACAGCACAGGGCAGGGGUGAGAGCAUGGCCCAGGGUCACGUCUGGGUUCCUGGACCAGUGACCGCCCUUAUAACCUCAGAUGUCUCACCUGUCGAAUGGGUAUACUUGGGGACAGCACCCACCCCCUGGAGUCACCACGAGGAUGAACAAGACAACCGUGUACAUGGUCAGCACAGAACAAGCACUGUUCUUUAUCCACGUUGAAGAAAUGAAAGAAUAAGAAAGCCAUCAUUUGGGGCCAGGUAAAGUGGCUCAUGCCUAUAAUCCCAGAACUUUGGGAGGCGGAGGGGGGGGGGGAUCACUUGAGGCCAGGAGUUUGAGACCAGCCUGGCCAACAUAGCAAGAUCCCAUCUCUACAAAAAUGAAAAAAUUAGCCAGGCGUGGGAGCACCGGCCUGUGGCCCCAGCUACUCAGGAGGCUGAGGGAGGAGUACCGCUUGAGGCAAGGUUGCAAUGAGCAACGAUCACAAUGCUGCACUCCAGCCCGGGUGACAGAGGGAGACCCUUUCUAAAAAAAAAAACAAAAAACAAAAAGCAAUAAAAUAAAAAAUAAAAAAAGAGUGAAAGAAGAAAGGAGAAUUGGAAGAAGUGGGGAGAUAAUCUCACACUUCAAAAAGAUAAAACCACUACUGGGCAUUUGGCUGAGAAUAUAAAAUGAAGUAGAGACAAGAGAAAUUAUA